RNAcentral lists this transfer RNA (72 nucleotides) under Corynebacterium pseudotuberculosis 316. Its description in RNAcentral is "tRNA-Arg (ACG) (tRNA-Arg-ACG-2-1)". It matches the Rfam family "tRNA". Rfam says of the family: Transfer RNA (tRNA) molecules are approximately 80 nucleotides in length. The record is from RNAcentral. RNAcentral also lists the same sequence under 2 other names. Lineage: Bacteria; Bacillati; Actinomycetota; Actinomycetes; Mycobacteriales; Corynebacteriaceae.
GCGCCCGUAGCUCAACGGAUAGAGCAUCUGACUACGGAUCAGAAGGUUGGGGUUCGAAUCCCUCCGGGCGCA